CCCAACUAUCCCUAUUAAUCAUUACGUCAAUCUUAGAAACCAACAAAAUAAGAUCGAACGUCCUAUUUCAUUAUUCCAUGCUAAUGUAUUCAAGCGUUAGCCUGCUUUAAACACUCUAAUUUUUUCAAAGUAACAGUCCAGUCUCCCCGCAACACCAAAUUAAUGGCAUUACGGUUCAUCAGGAAGGAGGAGCCAGUGAGACCAGUACAUACCAGUGGCACGACCAAUCUACUGACCCCGAAAUUCAACUA
This 251-nucleotide ribosomal RNA is filed under the name uncultured Rhizophagus. RNAcentral describes it as "partial 18S ribosomal RNA". Lineage: Eukaryota; Fungi; Glomeromycota; Glomeromycetes; Glomerales; Glomeraceae. The record is from RNAcentral.